GAAGAAUCGAGGGCGAAGAUUGUUGGGAAAGUGAAGAAGAAAGAGGAAAGUUCAGUGGUUCAGGGUUAGAUUCAAGCGAGGAAGAUGUUUGAGAGGGAGAAGGUGAAAUCGGUGUGUGAGAGUAACAAGAAGACGGUGAAGUAGGGUAGGAUGGUGGCGAGUAGGUAUAAUGGCGGUGGUGAUGUGAGGAAGAGGUUGUUGCCAGAAGGAGGGAAUGAGAUUAGGGUUAAGAAGAGGCACUUGGUGUUCCGGUGAACAGGCUUGUCCAAGCUGCUGAUUCAGUUUGCGUGUGCUUUCUAUUCUUCUUCCCGUUUGCCUACAAUUCAUUAUAUUUCUUGGCCUUUAUCUAACUUAUUGAUGAAAGUUCUAGAGGACUGAUUUUAUGGUCUCUUUCAUAUGAAAUUUAUUGCGUCUAUAAUACCUCAUUGAAUAAUAGUAAAGCAAACCUUUGUGCAGGAGCACUUGUUGCCUUGCAGGAAAAUAUUGGAAAGCUAGAAAUUGAUCAUAAUAAAGCUAGAUUUUUAGCUGGUAAAUGUCACAGUUUUAGAUGACUCCAUGUGGAGUUCUGGUCUGUUUCAUGAAUUCUAAUUUUCUUAAACUUACUAUUGUACUAUAAAUUUUCUUAAGCCUCUAGAGAAUGAUCUGAAGGUUUCCUAUGAUCAGUUUAUUCAAAAGUGUGUUCUGUCCUGUUUUUUGUUGCAAUCAGAGGGUCUUUUAACUUUGAGGGGGUUCAAUUAUUUGAAUUAUGGGACCCUCUUGUUAUUUCAAAUCCUUUUUAAUUAUUAAAUUUUUUAGAUACUGAUUAACAUAGUCUCCCAUGAACCAAGGUUCCAGAGUUAUUCAUUGUAUUGAAGAUGUAUGAUGUCAGUCUAAAUCUGGGAGGGUACACAACCCUCAAACCUUGAGCCAACUCUGAAAAGAUCGAAUAAGAAUAACAAAACUAACAUGAGAUCUAGUUCUCAACUGAGAGGGCACAAUUACAAACCAGUAAUUUUUCAUUUGUUCUCUGCAACUAGAUUGAUUUAAUUGUUAAUUUUUCUGUGUUUUAUUUGUCUUGCUUUUGGGGUAGUAGGAAAAGGAAAUUUUCAGACUUUGUGAACAGAAGCCAAAAGUUAGAAAGGAUGUAGCACAUUGAUAACUCUUUUAGG
RNAcentral lists this small RNA (1148 nucleotides) under Vigna angularis var. angularis. Its description in RNAcentral is "Non-protein coding transcript". The record is from RNAcentral. Lineage: Eukaryota; Viridiplantae; Streptophyta; Magnoliopsida; Fabales; Fabaceae.